Long non-coding RNA from Pezoporus occidentalis (night parrot), 998 nucleotides. RefSeq lists it as uncharacterized. The record is from RefSeq and is a predicted model, not a curated record. Lineage: Eukaryota; Metazoa; Chordata; Aves; Psittaciformes; Psittacidae. The transcript has 2 exons.
UUCUCCUUGCCUGACGAAAUAGUUAUGCUCACUUAAAUAAAUAAGUCUUCUUCCACCUUAGUCCUUUAUAAACUGGUUUAAACUCACCUUAUAAUAUGGGCCUGUUAUGUAGACUUCCAGCGUGGGAAAAUUGCAUUGCUUUAAAUCAUUUAAUUUAAGCUAGGUUGAUGCACACCCUUAUUUGGGUAUUGAUUUGAGGCUGAAUUUAGCUUAUUCUUAGCUUUGGUGCAAGCUCUUAUAUUCUAACUGUAUUGUUAUGAAAACAAUACUGAGUUCUUUGAGAGAGUUACCUCAGAUAUUCAGCUUAAAAAGUGUUUUCUUACAACUUUUAUGUUAAGAUCUCCAAGUACUGCUUUUCAUCUGCUGUGUUUCUCAAGUUGUUCUUAGUUUUGUAGACUCACAAUUAUUUCGGUAGGGCCCAGCUUAAUGAUGAGUCACAUCCUGGGUGUCAGUGGUUGUGUGAAUUGAGUAUAUCUGGAGUUGUCUUCUUGGCAUUAAGUUGUUUUUCCUUAAAAAGAAUUCCAAGUGGAUGAACCAGCUUUAAAGAUGUCCCCCUUGCUCUUGUACCACUUUUAACAUCAAAAAUUUGUGUCAUGGAUGUGAAGUGAGGGGUUGUCCUAGUAAGAGGUUGUCAGUGUGUGAGGGGUGGAUCCUGAUAUCAUGUGGAGUACUUUCCAACAAGGAUUUUCUAACUCACCAGGGGCAGAAUUGAAUUGAGGUAUAAGGUGGCUGCAUCAGUGCUUCUGUUGUACUUCCCAUGCCAUCCAACAGGGUCUGACUGUGCAUCAGGAGAACAGGGUAUGUGCCUCACUUGGAUGGGAAUGCCAGGAGGAUGUGCACAGGCAGUCCCAGCAGCUUCCAGGUUGAUACAGUCUUCCUGUUGUGCAGAGCUGGAAGAAAGAAGAGUGUGGACUAUUUGGUCUUGGAAGUUCUGCAUAUGCUUUAAGAAUGCAUAAACUUGCUGUAAAUAGACUACUUAGGCCUUAGCAUUAUAAACU